RNAcentral lists this ribosomal RNA (253 nucleotides) under uncultured bacterium. RNAcentral describes it as "partial 16S ribosomal RNA". It matches the Rfam family "Bacterial small subunit ribosomal RNA", at positions 524 to 776 of the family's 1533-position model. The record is from RNAcentral.
UACGAGGGGGGCUAGCGUUGCUCGGAAUCACUGGGCGUAAAGCGCACGUAGGCGGCUUUUUAAGUCAGGGGUGAAAUCCUGGAGCUCAACUCCAGAACUGCCUUUGAUACUGGGAAGCUUGAGUCCGGGAGAGGUGAGUGGAACUCCGAGUGUAGAGGUGAAAUUCGUAGAUAUUCGGAAGAACACCAGUGGCGAAGGCGGCUCACUGGUCCGGUACUGACGCUGAGGUGCGAAAGCGUGGGGAGCAAACAGG